AGUCCUGCCAACAGCUGUGAGUGAGCAUGGACGCAGAUCCUCUCCCAGUGGAGCAUUUGGAUGACCACGGCUCUGGCUAACACCUCACUUACAGCCUUGGGAGAGAUUCUGAGUCAGAGGCAUCCAGCUAAAUUGACCCACAGACACGGUAAAUCAGGGAUUUCUUCUUGGUUUGGAUCCACUGUUGAUUUUAGGUUACAAAAAGAUGGCAGAUUGCAUCUUGGGCACUCUCUUGUAUGACUUUUUGGAGAAGCCAGUUUUCAUGUUGUGAGAGGCCUGGCAGAGGGGCCCAAAUGAGUUCGCUGGGAAGCGGAUCACAGAAACCAUGAGGCCUAUAAAAGCCCCAGGCUCAGCCAGAGCAGAGCAGAUGAUGGAUGACCAGCUGCAGAGAAGAGCUACCCUUUCUGCUGACAGCAGAAGAUGUCCCAACAACCAGCAGAAGAGAGAAGCUAUCCAUUCUAGGGCCUCUUCUCUGCUGAGAGCUUCAGAAACCUGCAGAGACAUCGAGACUACCAGCUGCAGAGUGGAACAAUCCACUCCAGGGCCACCUCUCUGCUGAGAGCUAAGAAGACAAUGAGAUGACCUGCCUGCUAGGAGGAGCUUCCCUCUCCAGGGUCUCCUUUCUGCUAGGAGCUGAACUCUCAUUGGAACAUCCUGGCUGUGGAAAGGAGCUACCCUCUGCAGGUCUCCUGUGUGCUGUUCUAUUGAUCAAUAAAGCUCCCCUUCAUCUCGCUCAUCCUCCACUUGGCUCUGUACCUCAUGCUUCCUAGUUGCAGGACAAGAACUCGGGACCUACCAAAUGGCAGAGCUAAAAGAGCUAUAACACAGGACUGAAACAUGCCCCCUGCUUGCCACAUUGAGGGCAAAGAGAAGGAGAUAAGAUCUGUGCCUUCUCAGGCAGCCCAGACCUGGGAGCUCCCUGAGCCAGGGCUGUGACUCCCUCUUUGGGGUCCUGUGGUGCCUAGUAUCUCCAAGCUUCCAGGUGCCACUGCAUUUCCCGGUGCCAGCUGGGGAAGCUUCCUGCAGUGCACCUGGUCUGGCCACAGCCUCACAGAGAGUCAGUGCCUGUGCCAGCACCUGUAACUGCCCGCCCCAUUGCAGCAGCCGGCAUGUCCGAUUGCACACUGGCUGAACCCCAUGCUCCCUCACACACCCCUUGCCACUCCAUGCCUGACUUACCCUUGGCAGGUAUGGGAUCCAGGCCAGUAGUGUCAGCCAAGUAAAGCCUGCCAGGCCAGGUAGGCAGAACAAACCCAGCGGGCCUAAGCAAGACUUGGGCAAAGACAUCACCAGCCAGAAAAACAAUAUCCCAAGAAUCUUGUGACACUAGGCAUAGUGAAGUUCUUUAUUAAUUUGUAGAUUUUUAACCUGGAAAAUUCUAAUAUUUUCAACUAUUAAAAAAGAUAAUCCCCAAAAUAAUGCUUUAUUGUCAUGUAAAAUAUUAAAUAGAUUGUAUGUAACUUAGCUAUAUUAUUCUAAGAUAAAAUUCAUUAACUUGUCUUUAAGAAACUAGUUCCUAAAAUGCACUUUGAACUGUAUUUAUAAUCUCACUAGUCCUCUACUUAAUUAGGAAGUGGAAUAAAAUAUUUGAUAUAUUUUCUUUUUAUAUUUACAAAAGUCACCAUUUAAAUUCUUUGAAUUUUAACAUGUUAUACUUUUGGAGGAUCCACUGAGACACUAAAGUGGGUUCAUAAAGCCAACCAAACUGUGAUAGCACAGAAAUGUACUUCAGGAGCUGUUUAGGAGGAGAGACUUUUCUUUCUCCUCAAAGUGAUUCUCAAAUAGCAAUAGAGUCCUGGUGCAGUGGCUCAUGCCUACAAUCGAGCACUUUGGGAGGCCAAGGUGGGAGAAUUGUUUGAGCCCAGGAGUUCAAGAUCAGCAUAGGCAACAUAGCGAGACCUCAUCUCUACAAAAAAUACAGAAAUUAGCCAGGUGUGCCGGCAUGUGCUGUGUUUUUUGUCCAGCUACUUGGGAGGCUGAAGUGGAGGGAUUUCUUGAAACUGGGAGGUCAAGACUGAAGUAAGCCAUGAUCCUGCCACUAUACUCCUACAUGGGGGAAAGAGCAAGACUCUGUCUC
This 2077-nucleotide long non-coding RNA is filed under the name Homo sapiens (human). Its description in RNAcentral is "non-protein coding lnc-PON1-1:1". The record is from RNAcentral. Lineage: Eukaryota; Metazoa; Chordata; Mammalia; Primates; Hominidae.